RNAcentral lists this ribosomal RNA (1121 nucleotides) under uncultured organism. RNAcentral's name for it is "bacterial SSU rRNA". It matches the Rfam family "Bacterial small subunit ribosomal RNA", at positions 38 to 1189 of the family's 1533-position model. The record is from RNAcentral.
GGCGGCGUGCUUAACACAUGCAAGUCGAACGGGAACCUUUGGAUUCGUCUGAAGGGGAGAGUGGCGAACGGGUGAGUACAGGUGGGUGACCUGCCUCGAAGACGGGGAUACCACUGGAAACGGUGGCUAAUACCCGAUGGUCUCGAUAAUUCGGUUUAUCCAUGUAAAUGCUCCGGCGCUUUGAGAGGGACCUGCGGCCCAUCAGCUAGUUCGUAGGGUAAUGGCCUACCAAGUGCAAUACGGGUAUAGGGGCGUGAGAGCGUGACCCCCCACACUGGCACUGGGACACGGGCCAUACUCCUACGGGAGGCAGCAGUGAGGAAUAUUGCGCAAUGAGCGAAAGCUAGACGCAGCAACGCCGCGUGGGUGAUGAAGGCCUUCGGGUCGUAAAACCCUUUUCUGGGGGAAGAGUCACGACGGUACCCCAGGAAUAAGCCUCGGCUAACUAUGUGCCAGCAUCCGCGGUCAUACAUAGGAGGCAAGCGUUAUCCGGAUUUACUGGGCGUAAAGAGCGUUGAGGCGGCUACGUAAGUUGGACGUGACAGCUCCCGGCUUAACUGGGAGAGGCCGUACAAUACUGCGGUGCUUGAGGACAGCAGAGGGGGGUGGAAUUUCCGGUGUAGUGGUGAAAUGCGUAGAUAUCAGAAGGAACACCAGUGGCGAAUGCAGGCCCCUGGGCUGCUCCUGACGCUGAAGGCGAAAGCUAAGGUAGCGAACGGGAUUAGAAACCCCGGUAGUCCUAGCAGUAAACGAUGGAUACUAGCUGUAGGAGGUUAAAAUUCAUUCUGUGCCGGAGCUAACGCGUUAAGUAUCCCGCAUGGCGAGUACGCUCGCAAGGCUAAAACUCAAAGGAAUUGACGGGGACCAGCACAAGCAACGGAGCGUGUGGUUUAAUUCGAUGCAACGCGAAGAACUUUACCAGGGCUUGACAUGUAGGUAGUAGUGAAGCGAAAGCGGAACGAUCAUUCGGGAAGCCUACACAGUUGCUGCAUGGCUGUCGUCAGCUCGUGCCGUGAGGUGUUAGGUUAAGUCACUGUAACGAGCGCAACCCCUGCAGUUAGUUACAAGUGUCUAACGGGACUGCCCGGCAAAACUGGGAGGAAGGUGGGGAUGACGUCAAG